This 214-nucleotide long non-coding RNA is filed under the name Capsella rubella. Its description in RNAcentral is "long non-coding RNA (CRUB_LNC002156)". Lineage: Eukaryota; Viridiplantae; Streptophyta; Magnoliopsida; Brassicales; Brassicaceae. The record is from RNAcentral.
AGGUGAGUGCGUGACCAUGAGCUUAUCUAAGCGAUUGGGAUUGAGUGACUUGUUUGUGAUGAUUUGUAGGUGAAUUGGAAGUGUUAUUGGAUGUUUAGCUUGCUGAAUGGUUUGUUUAUGUUAUAUAUGUGGGUGUUAUCUCAUAGCUUGUGUGUAUAGCUCGUAGAUGGGAGGAUCGCUCUCACUAAGUAUUUGUGAUAAUACUCACGCAUCU